This is a long non-coding RNA of Lineus longissimus, 1094 nucleotides long. RefSeq lists it as uncharacterized. The transcript has 2 exons. The record is from RefSeq and is a predicted model, not a curated record. Lineage: Eukaryota; Metazoa; Nemertea; Pilidiophora; Heteronemertea; Lineidae.
GGAUCAAAUCUAGUAAUCAACAAACCGUUGGCGUUGUAAACUAUGGGUAAUAAAUGAUGUACCCCAAAGUUUGCCAACAACAAGUAUCCUUGCAGACCCAACAGGCAACGGGCACCAUUCAGGUUUCGAUGGACUGCAUUCUGCCAGGUUGUGUUUGUUGAUUGUUGUGAAAGCUUUGUGUCGUAUACGAUGCAUUAUGUGGAAUUGAGGGUGCCUGUCAGUUUCCAUAUAUCUUAGAGAUAGAAUAACAAUAUUGUAGACCAUGCUAGCUUCAUACUUUCAGGGAAAUUCUUUUCUUGUUUUCUCUGGAUGAUGUUUUAGACACUUGGCGUAAGGGUGUUGCAUGGGCUAACACCCCGUACUGCUUCAUCAAGGAGGACAGUCGGGAGUUGGACGAGCUGUGUUUAUCUUCCAUCUUCAGAAUGAUGCCAUGAUGGUGAUGAUCUUGCAAGGAAAUGCACAGCAGACUUGAUGACCGAUAUACACUAAUAGAGCAGUUUCAACGUGAGAUAGCCUUAGCAGAAUAAGAUACUAUAUAAGAUGUCAGAAUGUCCAUGCCUAAAUUGUCCGAUGACUCUUCAAUCACAGUUCAAUAAAACUUGUGCUGAAACUACCGAUACAAAGGACGUUCAACAUGUGUGCUGCAGAAAACCGUUCAAACUGACCAAAAUAGACCCAAGAUAAAUCCGUUCGUCUGUGAAAGCGUUUGCAGUCAACUGAGAAAAUAAUGAUUCAUUCAUUACUGGACGGUCUUAUUCUUCGACUAAAGAUGUUUGUGAAAUCACGGAAGAUAGAUGUCGUUCUCACAAGAAGCUACAUUUGCGGAGUAUUGACACACACACACACAGGUUGUCCAUCAUGCAACUAUCAGUUUGUCCAUCAUGCACACAGAACAGCCUCUAGGCCUAAAUUAUUGUCAUAUAUCCUAUGGCUUCAUGGCCAUUUCGAAUCUUUGUCAUUAUUUUUAAGCUUGGUGAAUUAGAAUUUGAACUGGUGUGGUCCAAACAUCUGGUGCUGGUGCCUUUCAGAAGGCCAUUCUGACUAAAGAUGGAUUGUUAUCUUGGAUGCCAGGCAUCUGCAAGCUAAAUUGAAGU